This 292-nucleotide long non-coding RNA is filed under the name Homo sapiens (human). Its description in RNAcentral is "LHRI_LNC1824.1". Lineage: Eukaryota; Metazoa; Chordata; Mammalia; Primates; Hominidae. The record is from RNAcentral.
CUCCCCGCGCCUCUCCUGCAGCUGUUUCUCCCUAACUCUCCCCUCUCCUCCCUCCACCUUGACCCUUCCUCGCACUCUUGUUCACACUGCGACCCUCCCUGCUUCACUUCGCUGCCCCUCCGCCUCCCUUUCCCCUCCCCGUUUGUCGCCCCUUCCUGUUGUCCCCUCUCCUUAUGACUCCUGGCCUGCCCUGGGCGUGGGGUGGGGGCUCCCUCUGCCCCAGUCACCCUGCUGCCCCUUGCCGUCUUCUCCACCUCCUCCCUGUCCCCCUCACCCCCACUGCCUACACUCC